CUUUUACAAGGACUGUAUCAGUUUUUGGCCAUCAGACACUGACAUGUAGUGUAACUACUUGGUAAGUCAGAACUGUAUCGAGGCGUUCUGCCUCACUGCUGAAAGGAGCCUACGGUUCCCCAUGGCGUGAACAGAUAUUAAGGGCCAGAUUCAUGCUAGGGCUUGGUGCAGGGAGUGAAGGGAUGCAGCUUGCAUGGCACCCCCACUGUACCUCUGCUGCUGCAAUUUGACCCCCCUGUGCAGAUGGGAGAAUUGGAUGGUAGAAGAGAAGAGAGAAGGCUAGAGGAGUGUGCUGUUGCAUAGUGACGAACUUGUUCUAAUGAGGGAACCUGUGAUAAAGUGUGAUAGGCAGUGAUAAUGAUGGAAGUCCAGGAUUCUACACCAAAGUGAUAAACUUCAUUCUGGCCUUCCUUGUGCCCAGUUGUCUUCAGCUGGAUAUGAGCUCUAGCCUGGAGCUAUUUACACCAUGAUCAGGCUAGUAAUUAGCAAAAUGUUUAAUAUAAUAUAGAAGCAAUUAGGAGGUGAUAACAUGCAAUUAAGAUGUGUUUUCAGAUUAAAGAUUUUAUAGUGCUCUCUUUCUUGAAAAGAUAAAGUGCCUAUCUCAAAAUGUCAAACUGCAGUGAUUUAAUCUGA
RNAcentral lists this long non-coding RNA (633 nucleotides) under Gopherus agassizii (Agassiz's desert tortoise). RNAcentral describes it as "lncRNA (ENSGAGG00000000939.1)". The record is from RNAcentral. Lineage: Eukaryota; Metazoa; Chordata; Testudines; Testudinidae.